RNAcentral lists this ribosomal RNA (792 nucleotides) under Triticum aestivum (bread wheat). Its description in RNAcentral is "partial small subunit ribosomal RNA". The record is from RNAcentral. Lineage: Eukaryota; Viridiplantae; Streptophyta; Magnoliopsida; Poales; Poaceae.
AUGCUUAGGAAAAAACCUGAGGAUGUUGUUCAUGAAAGACGCUUUGGUUGCUCUCAAAGCACCAUGGAGUCCAGCACAAAAACACCGAAAGAGAGGCACUAUGUGAGUAUGCAGUGGGCAUUGUUUUUCUAUGAGUGUGGCAUACCUUUCAAUGUUGCAAGCUCUAGGCAAUUCCAGAUUGCAAUAGAAGCCUCUUGUCAAUAUGGCCCGGAUGGCUGGUCCGAUAGAAGGGGGCGCCACUUGAUCAACUUCCUUGUAAACAGACCGGCGGGCACUUACUUCUUGGAGUCGGUUGAUGCAUCAGGUGAAUGCCAAGAUGAUCAGAUGAUAACAGAUUUUCUAGAGAAGAGAAUUGAGGAUGUUGGUAAAGAGAAUGUUGUUCAAGUUGUCAUCGACAAUGGUGCAAACUACAAGGCAGCGGGCAAGAUUCUAAUGCAAAGGAUUCCUACACUAUAUUGGAGUCCAUGUGCAUGUCAUUGCUUGGACCUAAUGUUGGAAGAUAUAGGGAAGCUAAAGGCAUUUAAGAAGCUUAUUGCACGGGGUAGACGAGUCACCACUUUCAUCUAUAGGCAUGGCAGAAUUCUAAGUCUAAUGAGGAAGGCAAUGGGUGGGCUGGAUCUUAUGAGACCCACAGCCACUCGCUUUGCCACAUCCAUUCUUUCUCUUAAGAGUUUGGUCAAGCACAAGCAAGCAUUGAGGAGUCUAUUUACAUGCCAAGCAUGGGUUGGAAACAAAUUGGCCAAAACUGCAGCCGGUUUGAAUGUGCAAGACAUUGUGCUUUCAGCGGAUUAG